ACUUUGGCUGGUUCGAAGACCGCAAAACGAAUUUUACUCAAGUUACGUGGUUCAAAUACAAAGCCAAAAGCAAUUUUUGUUACGACGGUCACUGUUUAUGUAUUUACUAGCAAAUUCAGUAACUUUUACGUGCAAUUACAUUU
Molecule: small nucleolar RNA, 143 nt
Organism: Drosophila albomicans
Lineage: Eukaryota; Metazoa; Arthropoda; Insecta; Diptera; Drosophilidae
Source: RefSeq, a predicted model, not a curated record